RNAcentral lists this ribosomal RNA (787 nucleotides) under uncultured Rhodococcus sp. RNAcentral's name for it is "bacterial SSU rRNA". It matches the Rfam family "Bacterial small subunit ribosomal RNA", at positions 11 to 811 of the family's 1533-position model. The record is from RNAcentral. Lineage: Bacteria; Bacillati; Actinomycetota; Actinomycetes; Mycobacteriales; Nocardiaceae.
GUUUGAUCCUGGCUCAGGACGAACGCUGGCGGCGUGCUUAACACAUGCAAGUCGAACGAUGAAGCCCAGCUUGCUGGGUGGAUUAGUGGCGAACGGGUGAGUAACACGUGGGUGAUCUGCCCUGCACUUCGGGAUAAGCCUGGGAAACUGGGUCUAAUACCGGAUAGGACCUCGGGAUGCAUGUUCCGGGGUGGAAAGGUUUUCCGGUGCAGGAUGGGCCCGCGGCCUAUCAGCUUGUUGGUGGGGUAACGGCCCACCAAGGCGACGACGGGUAGCCGGCCUGAGAGGGCGACCGGCCACACUGGGACUGAGACACGGCCCAGACUCCUACGGGAGGCAGCAGUGGGGAAUAUUGCACAAUGGGCGCAAGCCUGAUGCAGCGACGCCGCGUGAGGGAUGACGGCCUUCGGGUUGUAAACCUCUUUCAGUACCGACGAAGCGCAAGUGACGGUAGGUACAAAAGAAGCACCGGCCAACUACGUGCCAGCAGCCGCGGUAAUACGUAGGGUGCGAGCGUUGUCCGGAAUUACUGGGCGUAAAGAGCUCGUAGGCGGUUUGUCGCGUCGUCUGUGAAAACCCGCAGCUCAACUGCGGGCUUGCAGGCGAUACGGGCAGACUUGAGUACUGCAGGGGAGACUGGAAUUCCUGGUGUAGCGGUGAAGUGCGCAGAUAUCAGGAGGAACACCGGUGGCGAAGGCGGGUCUCUGGGCAGUAACUGACGCUGAGGAGCGAAAGCGUGGGUAGCGAACAGGAUUAGAUACCCUGGUAGUCCACGCCGUAAACGAUG